This 52-nucleotide transfer RNA is filed under the name Gammaproteobacteria bacterium. RNAcentral describes it as "tRNA-Leu". It matches the Rfam family "tRNA", at positions 24 to 71 of the family's 71-position model. From Rfam's summary of the family: Transfer RNA (tRNA) molecules are approximately 80 nucleotides in length. The record is from RNAcentral. Lineage: Bacteria; Pseudomonadati; Pseudomonadota; Gammaproteobacteria.
CAACGGCCUUCUAAGCCGUAGGUUACAGGUUCAAGUCCUGUCGGGCGCGCCA